CUCCUACUCUUCCCAUAUUGUAGGGUCUAGGUCUCAAAAUUCAACUCAUACUAUUGCUCAGAUGCAGAGAGAAAGGUAACAGCUUCAUUUUGCCUGUGACAAAUCUGCUAUUUCUCUGGAGCCCCCAUCUGUUAGUAGCAGGAAAAUUAACAAACUGAAGACCCAAUUCAGUUUCAAUUUACUCUGGUCCAAUAACUUAAAUAGAGACUUUAAGAAUUGCCCAGUCCUUAGUGGGGCAUGGUGGCGGGUGC
This 251-nucleotide long non-coding RNA is filed under the name Homo sapiens (human). RNAcentral's name for it is "non-protein coding lnc-MRGPRX3-3:1". The record is from RNAcentral. Lineage: Eukaryota; Metazoa; Chordata; Mammalia; Primates; Hominidae.